This 728-nucleotide small RNA is filed under the name Arabidopsis thaliana (thale cress). RNAcentral describes it as "ATSL171170". The record is from RNAcentral. Lineage: Eukaryota; Viridiplantae; Streptophyta; Magnoliopsida; Brassicales; Brassicaceae.
GGUAAGCAUUUUUCUUUCUGAUGGAAAAUUAAAACACACAAAAAUCAAAUCAAACUCCAUAGAUACGUUGAGAUCAACUGCUUUUAUUUUCUUUCUUUCAUUCCUUCCUUCACGAUGUCUUCUAGUAAACCGGUAUUGUUUGACACUCUUGAAAAUGAAUCAGAAAUAAAAGAGUAAUCUAUGAUGGAAUCACUAACACUCUGCGUUUUUGGUUGUGGAGGAUAGAAAAUUGCCGACAGUUCAUCAAAUGGAGAUGAACGAGGAAGAUUUUGUUGUCGUUUCUUCUUCUGCACCCGACCAUGAUUUGAUUGUUUUUGUAAGUUUUUUUCAUGUGAGAAACAUUUACCCUUAGAAGUCGGUUUUUUGUGAACUAAAUAUGAUUCUAGCAUGCGCGGUGAAUUUUCUGACAAAUGGUUGAUGAUCUACUCAUUGUCCGUUCUUCUUGCAUGUUUACUCCAUUUUGUAGCUUCAAUCAUAAAACUGCCAAUGUUCUUGCAUGUUUACGAAUGGUUGACGAUUUACUCAAAGUCCUUCGUCUUUUGUCUAUUCCGUUAUAGUAUUGACAAUUAUUUUUUUCGUUUGUGUAUGUUCAUGGCAUUUUUCCUUAUGAAUAGUUGUCUAAUUAAAUGUUUGUAAGUAUUGAAUUCUCUGUAUUCGUCCUUCUUUUUUAAUAACUAGGUGAGUUGCCACGCUACGCGUGGAUUGUUGUUUUGAAAAUUGUUUAAAAA